CUACGGGUGGCUGCAGUGGGGAAUAUUGGACAAUGGGCGAAAGCCUGAUCCAGCAAUGCCGCGUGUGCGAUGAAGGCCUGAGGGUUGUAAAGCACUUUCGUUGGGAAGGAAAUGCUCAAAGCUAAUACCUUUGAGAGUUGACGUUACCCAAAGAAGAAGCACCGGCUAACUCUGUGCCAGCAGCCGCGGUAAUACAGAGGGUGCAAGCGUUAAUCGGAGUUACUGGGCGUAAAGGGCGCGUAGGCGGAUACUUAAGUCGGAUGUGAAAUCCCUGGGCUCAACCUAGGAACUGCGUUCGAUACUAAGUGCCUAGAGUAUGGUAGAGGAAAGUGGAAUUCCCGGUGUAGUGGUAAAAUACGUAGAUAUCGGGAGGAACAUCAGUGGCGAAGGCGACUUUCUGGGCCAAUACUGACGCUGAGGCGCGAAAGCGUGGGGAGCAAACAGGAUUAGAUACCCUGGUAGUC
Molecule: ribosomal RNA, 464 nt
Filed under: uncultured bacterium
Lineage: Bacteria
Description: partial 16S ribosomal RNA
Rfam family: Bacterial small subunit ribosomal RNA
Source: RNAcentral